UCUCGUGAUGUUCUCGGACAUCUGACAAGCUGGUGGCCCUCUGCUGACUGCCUGAACCCCUCUCAGACCUUCAAACCAUGGGCCACAUCCUACUUCCUUCCCUACGCCUCCUGUGCACUAUCAAGCCCACAGCAGCUUCCAAACCAAGCACCUCUGUGGGCUGUCUUUGAUGUGGAACAGAGAAAAUGAUUUAUGAGGUAAAGAAAGAUUAAAUGAAUUGCUCAAGGUUAUGGAUCUGAGAAUCAAACCCAGGCAGUCACUGAGGGCCAUGAAUGCCUGUGAGGUCUGAGCACAAAGGGCCACAGUUUGGGGAGCCUUGGCAAGGUUGCUGUGGCUGAACUUGUCACAGAAGACAUGGAGCUACCUGAGAACUCUCACUUUCAGAUGUACUUCACAGCCCAGGCAGGAGGUACAGCAACUGGCAUGAUCUGAGGAUCUGGUAAUCUUGCCUUCUCAUGCUGCUCUUCCUCUACUGGAAUGCCCUGCCUUCUUCUAUACCCACCUAGAUCCUCUGGUAUUGUUAAAAACCCAGCUCAAAAGCCACUUCCUUCAAGAAUUCUUCUCUGGUCUCCCCAGCUGGAGAGUAUUGCUCUUCCUUUUGAGUUCCUAAUGCCCUGGAUCAUAGGACUCUGAUCAUUUUCUAUUGUAUAAUGAGUAUUCAUGUUCUUCUACUCCUUUAUGAUGAUUAUAUUAUUUUUCCCAAUUAUUCACUUCUCCUCUCUGUAAAAGUAAUAUAAAUUGCCAGAUAUCGGCAUGUGACUUUCAGUACCUCCCUGUAGAGGGAAGAUAUUUCCUUACCCAUUGUCAUAGGUUUGGUCAUGAGACUUGCUUUGGCCAAUCAAUUGAGAAUAGAAGUGAUCAGAGCCAUCACAGUAUCGUCUACCCUCUGCCACAAGAAUGACAUGUACUAGACUCUUGAAGCAGAGCCAAAGCUAACCUGAAGCUGAUGAGCAAGAAAUAAACCUUUGCUGUUAUAAACCACAAAGUUUGGGGGGUUGUUAUCACAUCAUAACCCGGAAAAAGCUGACUAAUACAUCUUUACUAAAGUGCCAGCAUAUUUAUGGGAAGGAUCAUAUCUGAUUCAUGAUUUGUUUCUUCUCUUUCAUAAACCUAGCACAAUGCCUUUUUUAGAGGCUCAGUAACUGUUCACAGAGUGAACAAGUUAAAAGAUCUAUCAUUUACUAAGUGCCAGUCUAAUAAUCCCUCACUUUGUGUAGUGCUA
Molecule: long non-coding RNA, 1222 nt
Organism: Physeter macrocephalus (sperm whale)
Lineage: Eukaryota; Metazoa; Chordata; Mammalia; Artiodactyla; Physeteridae
Exons: 3
Source: RefSeq, a predicted model, not a curated record